UUUUCAAUCUUCAAUGUACUGUCUAGUGUAGGCUUUAUCCAUUGAGCUCUUCGCAUCAUUUUUUGCUCUUGCUGUCACUCGCUAAACUAUCGCACGCGUUCCUCGUCCAGCUUUUCCCCUCCCUUCUCCAGCUGUCUCGGUGCAAAGUCUCGAUCGUAAAAUCAGCAUAAUUCUUGCUAUUCAUUCCUGAGAAACGUGCAUCACGAUAACCCAACAUAAUUAGGGCGAAGCGAGUAAAUACGGCGAAAUAAUACUCAGGAAGUUUCAAUAGCAAUAUAAAAAAAUGGCAUUUCGCGAGUUAGUAGAAGGAGACUGUGGAGGUCCCAGCUCGUUAAUGCGCCUUACAUCACAUUAUGUACAAGAUCAUGGUUUUAAAGAGGAAGGAAUUCACCAGCCAUUUAGUCCAGCUGAGACUUUUCAAACACAAGAUGCGGAUCGGUUAGUUCAACAAUUCUUAGAAGAACCUGCUUGUCCACAAACGUUUCGGAUGGACAAUUUACUACAAGAAAUGAGAGAAAUUGAUCAAAAUAUUCAUCCCCCGAGAGCAGCACCUGGAGUCGUCAAAGAAUUAAGUGAUCUAAACACAGCUUGGGAAAAUCUAUGUUUUAAAACUGAUAAGCAAUUUGAAGAACUUCAUGUGGAUAAUAUAUGGAAUACAUCUUUAAUACAACAACACACUCAGGAAGAAAACACACAGUUUCUUGAAACUCAUAAACUUGGUCUAGAUUCAAAAUGGAUGGAAGAAUAUUUAGAACAUAGCAUAAACAGUGCACAAGAUAAUGUUGAUAAAGACAAUGAAGCUCAAAUCAUAAAAGAUGAAGAUCCGAAUUAUGCAUAUUCAAGGUUUAUGAAAUUUAUGAAACAAGAAGGUGAUAUUCCAAUAGAAAGCACUCGAACAGAAACAGCUAAUUUGGAUGAUCCAAUUGAAGAAUGGAUAGAGCAAUAUCAUGCAGAUCAACAAAAAACAAAAGAUAGUUCAAUUAAUAACAUUAAUUAUGACAGUACAGUCUUGAACAAAGUAGAAGAAGAAUUAGAAGCUGCGGGUACAUGGAUAGACGAAUUUGUAAAGGAAAAUCCAUCCUCAGAACACAUACAUCCAAAGUCAUUAUGGAAACAGUUUCAAGACGAAUGGGAUAAAGUAUCUGCAGAUGGGCUCUCCUCUACACAUCCAUGGGUAUCAGAGUUUGACACAUAUUACGAUCCAUUUAACAAGGAAUAUGAAUUUUGUGAAACAAAUCCUAUGAAGGAUUUACCAAAUGCAUUGGCAGAAGGCAAGAAACGAUUAGAAGCGGGAGAUUUACCAAGUGCUGUACUCUGUUUUGAAGCAGCUGUUCAACAGGAUGAAAAUAAUGUUGAAGCGUGGCUACUCCUUGGUAAAACACAAGCUGAAAACGAGCAAGAUCCUUUGGCUAUCUCCGCUUUAAAUCGUUGUCUGUGCUUGGAACCAUGUAACAAUGUUGCUCUCAUGGCAUUAGCAGCUUCUUAUGCAAAUGAAUCCUAUCAGAAGCAAGCUUGCCUAACAUUGAAGGAGUGGUUACUAAAGAAUGAAAAAUAUAAACAUCUAUCAGUUCCAGAGUCUGAUCUUACAAGAGAAGAACAUCCGACUUUCAGUGUAUCCACCUUAUUAUAUGAUAAAGUAUAUGAUGAAGUGAAAGAUUUAUAUAUUCAAGCAGCAAGAAUGAAUCCCCGAGAUGAAAUUGAUCCGGAUAUACAAUGUGGACUAGGUAUACUGUUUAAUUUGUCGAGUGAUUACAACAAAGCUGUGGAUUGUUUCCAAGCAGCAUUGCAAGUACGCCCUGAUGAUUCCAGAUUAUGGAAUAGAUUGGGUGCCACUCUCGCUAAUGGCCAGCGAUCGGCAGAAGCUGUAAACGCGUAUCAUCGUGCCUUAGAGCUAUCGCCCGGAUUUAUUCGAGCACGUUACAAUCUUGGCAUAUCUUGUGUUAAUCUGGGAGUAUAUAAAGAAGCAGGUGAGCACCUCUUGACAGCAUUAAAUCAACAAGCUGCAGGAAGAGGCCCACAGGCCAGCAAUGUAUCUCCUAAAGCAAUGUCAAACACAAUAUGGUCCACGUUAAGAUUAGUUAUAUCAUUGAUGCAUAAAUAUGAAUUGAUGGAAGCUGUAGAAAACAGAGAUCUAUCCAAGUUAAAUAAGGAAUUUGAAAUCAUAUAAAUGGAUGCAGCUAUAUAAUGAAUUCCACAAUAUGAUUCAUUUUUUAUAUAAAUUAUUUCGUGCACAGGCCUAAUAAUGAUUAUUGAUAAUAAUUAUUGUUUAUCCUGUUAAGGAUAAAGAUUGCAAACAAGAUGUAAAGAAGAUCUAAACAAUUGCUGUAUUAUGUAUGUAUUUUUUUAUCUUAUAAUGAAUUAUAAAUAUUAUUGAUCAAUUUUAACAUAAUUAGAUUUACAAUAAAGAAGAAAUAAUUCCUAAAGGC
This is an RNA transcript of Formica exsecta, 2426 nucleotides long. It is a transcript of the gene named peroxisomal targeting signal 1 receptor, with no coding region annotated. Lineage: Eukaryota; Metazoa; Arthropoda; Insecta; Hymenoptera; Formicidae. The transcript is spliced from 9 exons. The record is from RefSeq and is a predicted model, not a curated record.